UACGUAGGCAGCAAGCGUUGUUCGGAGUUACUGGGCGUAAAGGGUGUGUAGGCGGUUGGAUAAGUGUGGUGUGAAAUCUCCCCGGCUCAACUGGGAGGGUGCGCUACAAACUGUCUGACUCGAGUGUGGGAUGGGUAAGUGGAAUUCCUGGUGUAGCGGUGAAAUGCGUAGAUAUCUGGAGGAACACCGGGUGGCGAAGGCGGCAUCCUGGACCGGUAUUGACGCUGAGGCGCGAAAAGCCAGGGGGAGCAAACGGG
RNAcentral lists this ribosomal RNA (257 nucleotides) under uncultured bacterium. Its description in RNAcentral is "partial 16S ribosomal RNA". It matches the Rfam family "Bacterial small subunit ribosomal RNA", at positions 524 to 776 of the family's 1533-position model. The record is from RNAcentral.